RNAcentral lists this long non-coding RNA (560 nucleotides) under Calidris pugnax (ruff). Its description in RNAcentral is "lncRNA (ENSCPUG00000015609.1)". Lineage: Eukaryota; Metazoa; Chordata; Aves; Charadriiformes; Scolopacidae. The record is from RNAcentral.
CUGCCAAGUGCUGGAGCAGCGAGGAGCAUCCCAGGCUUGUUUCCAUCCCAGAUGCUGGAUGUUUCGCUGCGCACACUUCAGACCCUUGUCAUGGUGGUGUCACUGCUGCAGAGACAGGAGGCUCAACCACCGAGUUCACCUGGAGCUGGCUGCAGGAGACGUUACACAGAGGAAGAGCAGUGGCUACAAACUGGAGGACUGCUAAUCUAAUAAUUAUCAGCUUGGAGUGUUUUAAAACAGCCUUCAGGAUGUUGGUCUAAAGUUUGCUGCCUGCACCAGGAACGUUUGGGAAAGCUGCUGAGAUCACCAAGAGAAGAUGGAUGUGAUGGUUUUCUGAGGAGAGGGGGCAGCGUGGAAGUACCUUUCCCUGCCUUCCUUCAGGACGGUGACCUUUUCCACGGGGGGGACGUCGGGUGGACACUGCAGAUGGUCUGGUCAGUGGGAAAGUCAUCCUUUGGUGAUGGAUCAGAAGGCAGAGCUUGCGUGAGCCAAGGUAUGUCUCAAAUCCGGAGGGAGGGAUGGCUUGGCUGGCUCAGGAGAGGGUGCUGCAGCAUUCACUG